UACAGAGGGUGCAAGCGUUAAUCGGAAUGACUGGGCGUAAAGGGCGCGUAGGCGGUUAAAAAAGUAAGAGGUGAAAUACCCGAGCUCAACUUGGGUACGGCCUCUUAAACUAAUUGACUAGAGUACAGUAGAGGGGAGUGGAAUUUCCGGAGUAGCGGUAAAAUGCGUAGAGAUCGGAAGGAACACCAGUGGCGAAAGCGGCUCCCUGGGCUGAUACUGACGCUGAGGCGCGAAGGCGUGGGGAGCAAACAGG
RNAcentral lists this ribosomal RNA (253 nucleotides) under uncultured bacterium. RNAcentral's name for it is "partial 16S ribosomal RNA". It matches the Rfam family "Bacterial small subunit ribosomal RNA", at positions 524 to 776 of the family's 1533-position model. The record is from RNAcentral.